Molecule: ribosomal RNA, 460 nt
Filed under: uncultured bacterium
Lineage: Bacteria
Description: bacterial SSU rRNA
Rfam family: Bacterial small subunit ribosomal RNA
Source: RNAcentral
ACGAACGCUGGCGGCGUGCUUAACACAUGCAAGUCGAGCGACGCCCUCUCUUCGGAGGGGUGACGGAGCGGCGAACGGGUGAGUAACACGUGGGCAACCUGCCCCUCGCUCUGGGACAACUCCGGGAAACCGGGGCUAAUACCGGAUACGACCGCUCCAGGCAUCUGGUGGUGGUGGAAAGUUUUUCGGCGAGGGAUGGGCCCGCGGCCUAUCAGCUUGUUGGUGGGGUGAUGGCCUACCAAGGCGACGACGGGUAGCCGGCCUGAGAGGGCGACCGGCCACACUGGGACUGAGACACGGCCCAGACUCCUACGGGAGGCAGCAGUGGGGAAUAUUGCGCAAUGGGCGAAAGCCUGACGCAGCGACGCCGCGUGAGGGAUGACGGCCUUCGGGUUGUAAACCUCUUUCAGCAGGGACGAAUUCAGACGGUACCUGCAGAAGAAGCACCGGCCAACUACGU